This 300-nucleotide ribosomal RNA is filed under the name uncultured bacterium. RNAcentral describes it as "bacterial SSU rRNA". It matches the Rfam family "Bacterial small subunit ribosomal RNA", at positions 399 to 691 of the family's 1533-position model. The record is from RNAcentral.
GCGUGUGUGAAGAAGGCCUGCGGGUUGUAAAGCACUUUCAGUUGGGAAGAAAAGCUUGAGGUUAAUACCCUUGAGUAUUGACGUUACUAACAGAAGAAGCACCGGCUAACUCUGUGCCAGCAGCCGCGGUAAUACAGAGGGUGCAAGCGUUAAUCGGAAUUACUGGGCGUAAAGCGUACGUAGGUGGCUUGGCCAGUCGGGUGUGAAAGCCCAAGGCUUAACCUUGGAAUUGCAUUCGAUACUACCAAGCUAGAGUACAGUAGAGGAAAGCGGAAUUCUUAGUGUAGCGGUGAAAUGCGU